UGAGAGGGUCAGAGCUGCUGAACAGG
RNAcentral lists this non-coding RNA (26 nucleotides) under Mus musculus (house mouse). The record is from RNAcentral. Lineage: Eukaryota; Metazoa; Chordata; Mammalia; Rodentia; Muridae.